Molecule: non-coding RNA, 77 nt
Organism: Potamilus streckersoni
Lineage: Eukaryota; Metazoa; Mollusca; Bivalvia; Unionida; Unionidae
Source: the annotation of a GenBank genome assembly
GACCACUCCGGUGGCCUAGUGGUUAAAGCGUCCACCUCGGAUGCUGGAGGUAGUGGGUUCUAUCCCCGGUCGAGUCA